GGAAGCUGUGAGUGCGCGCGGUUGCGGGGUCGCGUUGCGGCUACUGCUUUGCGUCCCCAGCGGGCAGCCCCCGGCUGGUUCCCGCCUCCGCUCUCGCCACCGGCGGGAGAAGCAGCUAGUGUGGGAGGAAAGGCGCCAUCUCCCGCCCCAUCUCUCCCGCUCUUGGCCGGCCGGAUCUUUUGGCUGUCCUGUGGCCUCGCUCCCCGCCCGGAUCCUCCUGACCCUGAGAUUCGUGGGUCUCACGUCCGGUGCACGCCCUGCUUCGGCCUCAGUUAAGCCUUUGUGGGCUCCAGGUCCCCGGUGAGAUUAGAAACGUUUGCAAACAUGUCCCGGAUCGAAAAGAUGAGCAUUCUGGGCGUGCGGAGUUUUGGAAUAGAGGACAAAGAUAAGCAAAUUAUCACUUUCUUCAGCCCCCUUACAAUUUUGGUUGGACCCAAUGGGGCGGGAAAGACGACCAUCAUUGAAUGUCUAAAAUAUAUUUGUACUGGAGAUUUCCCUCCUGGAACCAAAGGAAAUACAUUUGUACAUGAUCCCAAGGUUGCUCAAGAAACAGAUGUGAGAGCCCAGAUUCGUCUGCAAUUUCGUGAUGUCAAUGGAGAACUUAUAGCUGUACAAAGAUCUAUGGUGUGUACUCAGAAAAGCAAAAAGACAGAAUUUAAAACUUUGGAAGGAGUCAUUACUAGAACAAAGCAUGGUGAAAAGGUCAGUCUAAGCUCUAAGUGUGCAGAAAUUGACCGAGAAAUGAUCAGUUCUCUUGGGGUUUCCAAGGCUGUGCUAAAUAACGUCAUUUUCUGUCAUCAAGAAGAUUCUAAUUGGCCUUUAAGUGAAGGAAAGGCUUUGAAGCAAAAGUUUGAUGAGAUUUUUUCAGCAACAAGAUACAUUAAAGCCUUGGAAACACUUCGGCAGGUACGUCAGACACAAGGUCAGAAAGUAAAAGAAUAUCAAAUGGAACUAAAAUAUCUGAAGCAAUAUAAGGAAAAAGCUUGUGAGAUUCGUGAUCAGAUUACAAGUAAGGAAGCCCAGUUAACAUCUUCAAAGGAAAUUGUCAAAUCCUAUGAGAAUGAACUUGAUCCAUUGAAGAAUCGUCUAAAAGAAAUUGAACAUAAUCUCUCUAAAAUAAUGAAACUUGACAAUGAAAUUAAAGCCUUGGAUAGCCGAAAGAAGCAAAUGGAGAAAGAUAAUAGUGAACUCGAAGAGAAAAUGGAAAAGGUUUUUCAAGGGACUGAUGAGCAACUAAAUGAUUUAUAUCACAAUCACCAGAGAACAGUAAGGGAGAAAGAAAGGAAAUUGGUAGACUGUCAUCGUGAACUGGAAAAAUUAAAUAAAGAAUCUAGGCUUCUCAAUCAAGAAAAAUCAGAACUGCUUGUUGAACAGGGUCGUCUGCAGCUACAAGCAGAUCGCCAUCAAGAACAUAUCCGAGCUAGAGAUUCAUUAAUUCAGUCUUUGGCAACACAGCUAGAAUUGGAUGGCUUUGAGCGUGGACCCUUCAGUGACAGACAGAUUAAAAAUUUUCACAAACUUGUGAAAGAGAGACAAGAAGGGGAAGCAAAAACUACCAACCAACUGAUGAAUGACUUUGCAGAAAAAGAGACUCUGAAACAAAAACAGAUAGAUGAGAUAAGAGAUAAGAAAACUGGACUGGGAAGAAUAAUUGAGUUAAAAUCAGAAAUCCUAAAUAAGAAGCAGAAUGAGCUGAAAAAUGUGAAGUAUGAAUUACAGCAGUUGGAAGGAUCUUCAGACAGGAUUCUUGAACUGGACCAGGAGCUCAUAAAAGCUGAACGUGAGUUAAGCAAGGCUGAGAAAAACAGCAAUGUAGAAACCUUAAAAAUGGAAGUAAUAAGUCUUCAAAAUGAAAAAGCAGACUUAGACAGGACCCUGCGUAAACUUGACCAGGAGAUGGAGCAGUUAAACCAUCAUACAACAACACGUACCCAGAUGGAGAUGCUGACCAAAGACAAAGCUGACAAAGAUGAACAAAUCAGAAAAAUAAAAUCUAGGCACAGUGAUGAAUUAACGUCACUGUUGGGAUAUUUUCCCAACAAAAAACAGCUUGAAGACUGGCUACAUAGUAAAUCAAAAGAAAUUAAUCAGACCAGGGACAGACUUGCCAAAUUGAACAAAGAACUAGCUUCAGCUGAGCAGAAUAAAAAUCAUAUAAAUAAUGAACUAAAAAGAAAGGAAGAACAGUUGUCCAGUUACGAAGACAAGCUGUUUGAUGUUUGUGGUAGCCAGGAUUUUGAAAGUGAUUUAGACAGGCUUAAAGAGGAAAUUGAAAAAUCAUCAAAACAGCGAGCCAUGCUGGCUGGAGCCACAGCAGUUUACUCCCAGUUCAUUACUCAGCUAACAGAUGAAAACCAGUCAUGUUGCCCCGUUUGUCAGAGAGUUUUUCAGACAGAGGCUGAAUUACAAGAAGUCAUCAGUGAUUUGCAGUCUAAACUGCGACUUGCUCCAGAUAAACUCAAGUCAACAGAAUCAGAGCUAAAAAAAAAGGAAAAGCGGCGUGAUGAAAUGCUGGGACUUGUGCCUAUGAGGCAAAGCAUAAUUGAUUUGAAGGAGAAGGAAAUACCAGAAUUAAGAAACAAAUUGCAGAAUGUCAAUCGAGACAUACAGCGCCUAAAGAAUGACAUAGAAGAACAAGAAACACUCUUGGGUACAAUAAUGCCUGAAGAAGAAAGUGCUAAAGUGUGCCUGACAGAUGUUACAAUUAUGGAGAGGUUCCAGAUGGAACUUAAAGAUGUUGAAAGAAAAAUUGCACAACAAGCAGCUAAGCUACAAGGAAUAGACUUAGAUCGAACUGUCCAACAAGUCAACCAGGAGAAACAAGAGAAACAGCACAAGUUAGACACAGUUUCUAGUAAGAUUGAAUUGAAUCGUAAGCUUAUACAGGACCAGCAGGAACAGAUUCAACAUCUAAAAAGUAUGACAAAUGAGCUAAAAUCUGAGAAACUUCAGAUAUCCACUAAUUUGCAACGUCGUCAGCAACUGGAGGAGCAGACUGUGGAAUUAUCCACUGAAGUUCAGUCUUUGUACAGAGAGAUAAAGGAUGCUAAAGAGCAGGUAAGCCCUUUGGAAACAACGUUGGAAAAGUUCCAGCAAGAAAAAGAAGAAAUAAUCAACAAAAAAAAUACAAGCAACAAAAUAGCACAGGAUAAACUGAAUGAUAUUAAAGAGAAGGUUAAAAAUAUUCAUGGUUAUAUGAAAGACAUUGAGAAUUAUAUUCAAGAUGGGAAAGACGACUAUAAGAAGCAAAAAGAAACUGAACUUAAUAAAGUAAUAGCUCAACUAAGUGAAUGCGAGAAACACAAAGAAAAGAUAAAUGAAGAUAUGAGAAUCAUGAGACAAGAUAUUGAUACACAGAAGAUACAAGAAAGGUGGCUACAGGAUAACCUUACUUUAAGAAAAAGAAAUGAGGAACUAAAAGAAGUUGAAGAAGAAAGAAAACAACAUUUGAAGGAAAUGGGUCAAAUGCAGGUUUUGCAAAUGAAAAAUGAACAUCAGAAGUUGGAAGAGAACAUAGACAAUAUAAAAAGAAAUCACAGUUUGGCAUUAGGGCGACAGAAAGGUUAUGAGGAAGAAAUUAUUCAUUUUAAGAAAGAACUUCGAGAACCACAAUUUCGGGACGCUGAGGAAAAGUAUAGAGAAAUGAUGAUUGUUAUGAGGACAACAGAACUUGUGAACAAGGAUCUGGAUAUUUAUUAUAAGACUCUUGACCAAGCAAUAAUGAAAUUUCACAGUAUGAAAAUGGAAGAAAUCAAUAAAAUUAUUCGUGACCUGUGGCGAAGUACCUAUCGUGGACAAGAUAUUGAAUACAUAGAAAUACGGUCUGAUGCCGAUGAAAAUGUAUCAGCUUCUGAUAAAAGGCGGAAUUAUAACUACCGAGUGGUGAUGCUGAAGGGAGACACGGCCUUGGAUAUGCGAGGACGAUGCAGUGCUGGACAAAAGGUAUUAGCCUCACUUAUCAUUCGCCUGGCCCUGGCUGAAACGUUCUGCCUCAACUGUGGUAUCAUUGCCUUGGAUGAGCCAACAACAAAUCUUGACCGAGAAAACAUUGAAUCUCUUGCACAUGCUCUGGUUGAGAUAAUAAAAAGUCGCUCACAGCAGCGUAACUUCCAGCUUCUGGUAAUCACUCAUGAUGAAGAUUUUGUGGAGCUUUUAGGACGUUCUGAAUAUGUGGAGAAAUUCUACAGGAUUAAAAAGAACAUCGAUCAGUGCUCAGAGAUUGUGAAAUGCAGUGUUAGUUCCCUGGGAUUUAAUGUUCAUUAAAAAUAUCCAAGAUUUAAAUGCCAUAGAAAUGUAGGUCCUCAGAAAGUGUGUAAGAACAAACUGCUUAUUUCUGAUAUCAACUUAGUAAGAAAAUAUAUUCUUUCAAAGGAACAUUGUGUCUAGGAUUUUGGAUGUUGGGAGGUUCUAAAAUUAUGAAACUUGUUUCACUGAAAAUUGGACAGAUUGCCUGUUUCUGAUUCCCUGCUCUUCAUCCCAUUCCAGGCAGCCUCUGACAGGCCUUCAGGGUUCAGCAGCACAGCCGAGACUCGACUCAGUGCCUUCCUCCCCAAUAUGGUCAUCCAGACUCAGGGCUCUCUCGACAGAGAGGAAAUUCUCCACUGUGCACACCCACCUUUGGAAAGCUCUGACCACUUGAGGCCCGAUCUGCCCAUCGUGAAGAAGCCUGUAACACUCCUCUGCAUCUAUCCUGUGUAGCAUCCUGGCUUCACCAUCAAUCCUGAUUCCUCUCCAAGGGGGCAUUGCCGUGUGGAAGGCAAGCCAGGCUCACUCACAAAGUCAAGGCCUGCUCCCUGUAGGGUCCAACCAGACCUAGAGGAGCAGGCUUGCCAUAUGCUCUGCAGAUGCCAUUUCUAAGAAAAGCCUAAUCACAGUUUUUCCUGGAAUUGCCAGCUGACAUCUUGAAUCCUUCCAUUCCACACAGAAUGCAAGCACGUCACACGCUUUUGAAUUAUGCUUUGUGGAGUUCUGUUUUUCAGAGUCAGCCGGGUCUUGAUUCAGUCACGUGGCAUGGUUUUGUGCCAUCUGUAGAUAUAAUGAGCAUAUUGCCUAGACAGCUUUUCUCAGCUGGGUCCAGAAGAGAAUUAAGCCCUAAAGUCCUAAAGCGUCUGUGCUAGGUUAAAUAGUUGGCCCCCAAAGAUAGCCAGGUCCUGAUUUCUAGAACCCGUGACUGUUACUUUAUAUGGCAAAGGAAACUUUGCAGAUGUGAUUAAAGCUAAGGACCUUAAGACAGUGUCCUGGGGGCGGGGCAGGGGUGGAGGGGGGGUGGUUCCUAAAUGUAAUCACAAGUAAGAUUAAGAGCACAUCAAUUCUAGUCAUAUAGUAAACAUCCACAAUAGCCAAGAUAUUUUUAUCCUAAGAAUGCGAGAUUUCAGAAAAUGAAAAAUCUGUUGAUAAAUCAUCACUAUAAUAAAAAUCUGUUGAUAAAUCAUCACUAUAAUAAAACCGAAGGGGAAAAAAUUAUGAAAAAUUCUAGCAGCUAUAUUUGAUAAAAUUCAACAUCUAGCUUUAGCAAACUCAGUUUUGCAAAGAAUAUUUUCUUAAUGUUAUCUGUUGCUAAAUCAAAAUUAAACAGUCAUCUUAAUUGCAAAAUAAAACAUUUCUCAGUAAAUAUUAAAGCCAGUUACCUUCUAUCAACAUGUUUCUGAAAGUGCUGGUUGUUGCAGCAAGGAAUAACAAAGGCAAUACAAGACCAAUAUAGGCAGUGAAACAAAAUUAUCAUUUGCAAGUUAAAACAGACUUCCCAGUUUUAAAUCUGGUUUCCCCCUGUGUAUGUGGCAUCCUUGGCAGCACUUUUGAGAGUGGCUGCUUUCGUUCAGAUAGGUGCCUUUCUGGCUUCUCAUUGCUGCUUCUAGAUCAUUCUCCAAAUAUCCCCCCUUCCCCACAUUGGAAUGAAUAGCCAUCACAGUAUGGAUGGAGGUUAGAAUGAGCCAGACUGCCUGGGCUCAAAUCCUAGCACACCACUCAUUAGCUGGGGACCUUGAGCAAGUUAUUUGUCCUGUUUUGUUUCUGUUUCCUUAUAUGUAAAAGUGGGUAAAAUGGUACAUGUUUUAUAGGGUUGUUAUGAAGAUUGAAUGACAUUAUUUAUAAACUGCUUAGAACUGCUUGCCACCUACUAAAUACUGUGUGAGUGUUCAAGAAAAACCUGUCUUCAUUUCA
Molecule: non-coding RNA, 6159 nt
Organism: Chlorocebus sabaeus (green monkey)
Lineage: Eukaryota; Metazoa; Chordata; Mammalia; Primates; Cercopithecidae
Source: RefSeq, a predicted model, not a curated record